This 543-nucleotide long non-coding RNA is filed under the name Drosophila guanche. Lineage: Eukaryota; Metazoa; Arthropoda; Insecta; Diptera; Drosophilidae. The record is from RNAcentral.
CUGCGGAUGAGGGUUGAGCAGUCCAGCUAUUUGCACACCUCCAGCACACGCCCUAUCGUGGCUUUAUUUUCACAACUUUCGGGCGGGUGUUGGUGGCCCCAGAUGAUGAUUGUCUGUCUGUACCUGUACCUGUAUCUGUGUCUGUAUCUGUAUCUGUGUGUGUCAUUAGCUUCACAACUCAUUAGCAGAUACGAGAUAAAGCCCCCGCCGAGUGACAGGAAGAGCACAAAGGAGGGGCUCGAGGGGCUCUGCUCUGCGCUGCGCUGCUCUCUCGCUUCCAGUUUUUAUCGUCAAUGCUUUUUGGCACUUGCCUGAUUCCGUUUGAGAAAUGCCAAAUGGCAGUUAAUCACCAGAAAUUUCUAUAUCAAUCAUCUGCCCCAAUCGGGGAGUGUGGGGGGGGGGGGGAGAUUCGGGUUGCUGCAUUGGUCCGAGAUAGUCCGAGUCCCCUCUCUCUCUCUCUGUCUCUUUCUGAGUGUGUGUCCGUCACUCGAUAGUUGCUCCAUCCCGCAGCAAACCCAAGCACCCCCCUCUGUCACUCUCCUG